Long non-coding RNA from Passer domesticus (house sparrow), 2778 nucleotides. RefSeq lists it as uncharacterized. Lineage: Eukaryota; Metazoa; Chordata; Aves; Passeriformes; Passeridae. The transcript is spliced from 5 exons. The record is from RefSeq and is a predicted model, not a curated record.
AAGAAGCCAGAAGGAAUUAUGGCCAGGACAGCUGACCUGAGCUGGCCAAAGGGAUAUUCCAUAUCACAGAGCAUUAUUGCCAGUACAUAAACUGAGAGGAGUUGACUAGAGGGAGACUGGCUGGGCAUCAUUCAAGUGGAUAGAGGACUGAGCAAGCCACUACAUGGUUCUUAGUUGCUGGCUGGGGUUAAACUACAAAGACUCAGAGGAAGAUAUUUUCAAAUGGCAACCUGACCUGAAGUGUAUAUGGAUGGCAAGAGGUGGAAACUGAUGCACAGGAAAUUCCACCUGAAUAUGAGGAAGAACUACUGUGCAGUGACCAUAUAAUGGAACGGAUUGCCCAGAGAGGGUUUGGAGUCUCCCUCACUGGAGAUACUCAAGAACUGUCUGGAUGUGACCUAGUGCCAUGUGCUUGAGAAUGACCCUGCUUGAGCAUGGAGUUUGGACCAGAUGGCCACAGUGGUCCCUCCCAACCUGACCCACUCUGUAAAAGGGGAUUUUAAAAUGAAUGGGCGUGAAUCCUCGUGUGGGCCUGCUUAGUAUGUUCAGGACUUUUUCCUAAAUUAUAAGAUCAGUCUACAGCAUGAAGAGGCCAAUCCUUGCCAGCAGAACCAAGUUUUGAAAAACACUGCUCCACCAUAUGUUCAGUCCUGACCAGCGUGAUAGUUCGGAAGCUGACAUCUGCAGAUGGGGAGUUCAUACCACCAUUCAGCACAAACAUGCUGCUACUGUACACUGAAGUCAAUACUAGCCAGACUUUGCUUAGGAGAAAUUUUCAACACUGAUCUACAGUUUCACCUUGCCAACUAAUUUUUGUUACACUGAUGUAAAUGAAAUAGAUAUAAAAAGAAUCUCAGAGAAAAAUGGUGGCGCUGAUUGGAAAAGGGAGUCCCUGCGAAUCCUUUUGGUAAUCUCCUUUAGAGGGAAAACUCUUCUGUAUCAGGUAUUACAUUGAAGCUGUUGGUGUAACAGAAAACACUUUUUAAUGUUACAUAUGACGGACCUUCAAGAAAGCCCACUAAACUCUAUUUGGCCUGUAGGGUCAUGCACUACAAGGAUACAAUGACCUCAAACAGUUCCCUGAACUGUUUUAAAGACCUAGUUAACUCAUUUUUUCUCUGAACAAGAUAUAUCAAACUUGCAAUAAGCACAGUAUGAACCAAAGUCUUUCUUCCCUUUUCUGGUGCCCUUCUUAAAGCAGCAAGAAUACUCUGCUUAAAUGUUUGUGGGAGUGACAUUGGUUCUUCUACAGAAGCACUAAGAUAAAAUGCAUUUUCCCUGCUACUUUUAAUUUUUCUCCCCCUUGCUCCUCUCUCAUUCCCUCUGCAGUUCCUCAUGCAGUCCAAACACUUUUUCCAGGGCUUAAACAGAUUUAUGGCUAGCAAUUUCCACAGGGAUUGUAUGCAUGUUCUCUCAGGCAUGCCCAGGCACCAACACUCAUCAGAGGGCUGGAAAUCAAAAUCUGUGUCAGUUGUGCCACCAGCAGUGAAAUUCCAUGAGUUCAUAUUUGUUGUGUCCCUCAUUCAUGCCUUUACUGUAUAGCAGUGCCCUUCUUCAAAAGGCUGUACCUAAAGCCUCUGUGUGAAUUUUCUUUAAAAUGUUCUGCAGUCUUAUCUCCUGUGCACAUCUACCAUCAAUUAUUAAAUGGGAGAGUAAAUGGAAUCAUUUUCCUUUAUUAUGUUGCUCUGAAACUGAAAUGGACAAUGUCCGGACUGCAAAUUCAUAGUAGAAAUAGGUUAGAUGUUCAGUUAUAUGAAUUUUACUCAGAACUUUUCCUGCAUCAAAUGUGGAGCAUGCCUGAGUAGCAAACAGUUCAAAACAAUGGUAACUACAACACUGACUUUGCAAAUUCUGUUAUACUCAGUAAAUUGAGCUUUCUAAUUUUUAUAGAUAUUAGCAACCUAAUUUCUUUUUAGUGUACAUAAGAGGUACAUCCCACUUCUGAUCACUAAUUAUGCUGCCCACUACCCCAAUUAUUUUUCUAACAGAAUUAAGGGAACAGCUAAAUAAUGAAGGGGAUCAUUAUUACUUCAACACUACUGCAAGAGGUGGUGUUUUGAAUAAGUGGGUAACCAGAUUUGCCCAACAUCUGAUGCAUGAUGAAAGACAAGGAAUCAGAGUAUUUGCAAGUUGAAGACUCCCUAUUAAUGAGAUGCUUGCAAGUCUCUGCCUUAAUCCAGGCAUGCCCAUGAAUUCACUACCAUACACUAAGCUAUGCAUGCAAAUAUAUAUAUUAUAUUAUAUGAUGAUAUGAGAUUAUUAUAUAUAAUAUUAGUAAACAUAUAGUACAGUUGAUGAAAGAAAAUAUGCAAAUGAAACAGUCUGCUGUGUCUAAUAAAAUUCAUGCUUAUUUUGUCAUACUUACAAUGGGUAAUAUGCAAACUAUACAAAGCUUUGUCAUUAAUAGUACAAUUCUGUGCUCAAAACAUGAACCAAACACUAUAUUAACAAUUCUCUGUGAGCAUGCAUCCUUACUUACACUUUCUCUUUUUAUAUAAAAAGAAGAAAGUUUAACUUCCUCAGUUGUUUAUAAGACAAGGAAGAAGAGUUGAAAUACAGGAUUAAAAUUCAAUUAUGUUUUAAACACAGUAUAAUGAUUACAUUAUUCAUGAAGUUCAGAAGAAUUUGGUGAUCUGUCUCCCAAUAUCUUAAACUACUGUGUUCAAACUGUAUCAAAAGUGUAGUUCACCAGUAUUAAGAGACCUGUGAAUUUUCUCACUCACCUGUAUAUAUUGGCUGUAUUAGCACUUGGAUGCCUUUGGUACUGACAAUAAAAUU